The sequence is a transfer RNA, 93 nucleotides long. It matches the Rfam family "tRNA". From Rfam's summary of the family: Transfer RNA (tRNA) molecules are approximately 80 nucleotides in length. Their secondary structure includes four short double-helical elements and three loops (D, anti-codon, and T loops). The record is from Rfam.
GUCACUUUGGCCGAGUGGUUAAGGCGGUGCCCUGCUAACAUAGUUUGUAAGGCAUUACGUUCGCGUGCGUAGGUUCGAAUCCUGCAGGUGACG